UUCAAACUCUUAAGAGUUUUAUGAUUUUGCAAAAUCAUGUCUGCAGAUGUUAUCUCUUUAGUUGCAGUUGCAUCAUUAAACUAUACCACUGAAUUUACUUAGAAAAUAUGUAGACCACUCUCUGAAAUGCAAGAUAGAUGAACUCGGUCAAAACUUAAAAGAUUGGACGCUAACAUGAUCUGACAUCCUCAGCGGUACCAAUUUAAUCGAUAAAUUGAUGAGGCCACCAAUACAUUUACACCUUCAACUGAUGCAAUAUUACGUUCACUUGUGUGAGAGAUGUCAAUAGUUAAGUACAGCGACUUCCAAAGGCUGUUGAUAUUUGUAAAAUCCGAAGAACUAAACCUAAUAGAAGAAGAAACUUCACUUUGAAAAUAAGGAUCUAAUAUGGUAGGGAAGAUAUAAUAUUUUGACAAAUUAAAACAAAGCAAUCACAUAAUUAGUAGUUCACGCAAAAGUUAAUGAGGAGUUCACGCAUAACACGACUUUAGGAACAGCUAGGACCAAUUUUAAUGCAAGAGAACAUUUCAUACUUCAUGAAUCAGUGACCUAAAUUUUUCUCGAGUACUCAAUCUAUGCAUAAGAUACUACAAAUAAGAGCACAGUUCAAACCAAAUGCAGGGCAACAACGUGCAUUCUAUUCCACAAAUUAAUUCCUAAAAAUGAAAAUCUGUCAUAAAAUCAGAACGGUGUUUGAUCUCAUCGUCCUAAAUCUAACAGACACCAUCAAUCUCAAAGAAAUAAUAAACCACAUGAUUGACAUUCUCUCUUUCGAAAUAGCUAAUUCAUUUAAAUUCUUAUACUAAAAAAUAUAGUGAAAAGAUGUUUACAAAGCAUAUACAUAACACAUAUUAUAAGACAUUGAUACUAAGUAUCAUCUGCUGUAGUCAAUCUGGUAAAAACUUGACAAAACUCAGUAUCUACAUGCAUUUAAUCAUAGACAAGCUGGGGCAGUCUCCAUCUUCAUUACAUUUUUACUACUGUUUGACCAUUGGGAAUAUUGGAGAAGGUUUGCUGGCAUGAAAAACCUCUAACCAUACAAACAGUCUCUUCUUUAUUGAAAAGCUUUGGAAAAAAAAAAGUGAAGAAUAUUUUAUCCCAAUUACAAUUGGAAUGAUCAGCUUUAUCUUUUUCAUGUUUUUUUUUU
Malus domestica (apple) is the source of this 1147-nucleotide non-coding RNA. NCBI's taxonomy places the organism in Eukaryota, Viridiplantae, Streptophyta, Magnoliopsida, Rosales, Rosaceae. The record is from RefSeq and is a predicted model, not a curated record.